This 483-nucleotide ribosomal RNA is filed under the name uncultured bacterium. RNAcentral describes it as "partial 16S ribosomal RNA". It matches the Rfam family "Bacterial small subunit ribosomal RNA", at positions 29 to 523 of the family's 1533-position model. The record is from RNAcentral.
AGUGAACGCUGGCGGCGUGCUUAACACAUGCAAGUCGAACGAGAAACGGAUUUAGCUUGCUAAAUUGCAGUCUAAGUGGCGCACGGGUGAGUAAUGUAUAGGUAAUAUGCCUCUUACUAAGGGAUAACAAUUGGAAACGAUUGCUAAUACCUUAUAUGCCUUUAAUACGAAAGUAUGCAAGGGAAAGAUUUAUUGGUAAGAGAUUAGCCUGUAUGGUAUCAGCUUGUUGGUGAGGUAAUGGCUCACCAAGGCUAUGACGCCUAACUGGUUUGAGAGGAUGAUCAGUCACACUGGAACUGAGACACGGUCCAGACUCCUACGGGAGGCAGCAGUGGGGAAUAUUGCACAAUGGACGAGAGUCUGAUGCAGCAACGCCGCGUGGAGGAUGACACAUUUCGGUGCGUAAACUCCUUUUAUAUAGGAAGAUAAUGACGGUACUAUAUGAAUAAGCACCGGCUAACUCCGUGCCAGCAGCCGCUGUAA